Molecule: ribosomal RNA, 610 nt
Filed under: Triticum aestivum (bread wheat)
Lineage: Eukaryota; Viridiplantae; Streptophyta; Magnoliopsida; Poales; Poaceae
Description: partial small subunit ribosomal RNA
Source: RNAcentral
GGUUGGAAUAGGGGUAGAGAGAGAGAGACAAAGGAGUGUCGGUGCGUGGGUCAUGUGGGGUGGCGGCGGGCGCCGGUGGUGGAGGCGGCGGCGGCUGGCCUCUGGCCGCCGCGGCGGUGUGGUGCUGUCCGCUCGCCGGUGCCGCUCAACGGGGAUACUCAACCGCUCGCCGGUGCCACACGAUACGGACGCUCGGCCACUCGAGGGGCCACUCGCCGCCGGUGUCUCGAUGUUAGCAGCGGCCCCCCGUAUGCAACAACCGUUCUUUCCCUCCUCCGCUGCCGCUGCCGCCCCUGGCCACUGCUGCUGCUGCUGGCCGCCGCUCCUGUCGCUGUCUCCUCUGCGCGCCCCUCCACGAUGCUGCGAAGCAGGUACCGCCGCGCAGACUUUGAAAAAGAUUUUCUUCUUCUACAAGCUCCCUCCUUCUUUCCUUAGUAUGCCAAGGACUAAACAAACUAGCAUGCCACGACCAGACUGGCCGGAUUUAAACCCGGCCGCGUGGCUGCGGAUCGUGAGCGGUAAAUUCUUACCACCGUGAUCUACAGAUAUUUGACACUGGAAAUAAAUAGAGGAAUUCAUAACACAGUGGGUCUUGAGGACUUUGCGAGUA